AUGGAGCGCAUGGCGACCUCGUAUUUUCAGGAAGUUUUCACCAAAGAUCCGACACUUACACCUACGGGUGUGCUUGACGGUAUAGCUCCUAAAGUGACACAGGGCAUGAAUGAUAUGUUGUGUGCGCCGUUUUCAGAGGAGGAUGUGUCUAAUGCUUUGUUUCAAAUCGGCCCGAUCAAAGCGCCUGGUAACGAUGGCUUGCCGGCUAGGUUCUUCCAGCGCAACUGGGCUGUUUUGAAGACGGAGAUUAUAGCUGCGGUUUUGGAUUUCUUGAAGUCAGGAGUAAUGCCAGAGGGAGUGAAUGAUACGGCCAUCGUCCUUAUCCCAAAAGUUCCUUAUCCAAAGGAACUGAAGGAUUUCAGACCGAUAAGUCUAUGUAACGUGCUGUAUAAAAUCGUGUCUAAGUGCUUGGUCAAUCGUUUGCGACCGCUGUUGGGUGAGUUGAUCUCAGAAAAUCAAAGUGCAUUCAUUCCUGGAAGGCUUAUUUCGGAUAACUCUAUCAUAGCUUUUGAGUGCAUCCAUCAUAUACAAACUAUGAAAACAAACAGUCCAGCUGCUUGUGCUUACAAGUUGGAUCUCUCGAAAGCAUAUGAUCGUGUCGAUUGGGAGUUUUUGGAGCAAGCCCUAAUCAAAUGGGGGUUCUCGAUGGAGUGGUUUCAUGGAUAA
This 666-nucleotide ribosomal RNA is filed under the name Triticum aestivum (bread wheat). RNAcentral describes it as "partial small subunit ribosomal RNA". Lineage: Eukaryota; Viridiplantae; Streptophyta; Magnoliopsida; Poales; Poaceae. The record is from RNAcentral.